Small nuclear RNA from Marmota marmota marmota (Alpine marmot), 107 nucleotides. NCBI's taxonomy places the organism in Eukaryota, Metazoa, Chordata, Mammalia, Rodentia, Sciuridae. The record is from Ensembl.
GUGCUCACUUCAGCAGCACAUGUACUAAAAUUGGAAUGAUACAGAGAAGAUUAUCAUGGCCUCUCUGCAAGGAUGACACGCAAAUUCAUGAAGCAUUCCAUAUUUAA